Molecule: non-coding RNA, 95 nt
Organism: Mycena latifolia
Lineage: Eukaryota; Fungi; Basidiomycota; Agaricomycetes; Agaricales; Mycenaceae
Source: the annotation of a GenBank genome assembly
GACCCAGUGGCGAAGUGGUAUCGCACCCGCUUACUGUAGGUAAGCUAGUAGGAAAUCUUCCGCGGAAGGUGCCCGUUCGAUUCGGGUCGGGGUCG